UCCUGACAUUGUCUUCAAAUACUUCUUUGAGACAAUUUGAUUUUUGUCACCGAUAUGGCAUAUCUACGGGCGUGUCUUACAGAUUGCCUGCUAUACAAUUUGAUUGUUGACAAAAUUCACUAGCCGCGAACCAGUCAGCACAAUUUUUUUAUUGAGAAAUUUAAAGUUUUUAUUUCUUUUUUCUUGUGUAUCAAAUCUGACCGGCUGGGCUCGAACGAUCUUGCUCACCUAUGGAGCUUGAUAACAACAAUUAUUUUGUUGGUUAUGUCCUGAAUAUCGGAUAGAUUUAUGAAGGGUCUUGACUUUCAGUACUCGAAAUUAUGAGAAAUCAAAGGUGCAUGCCCAACUUUCCGAGAGUGUUGUUUUUUGCCAAUCCCAACGCCAAACUAAUGCUCCAAGAUAGGACGAAGUUGAUAUUUUUUUUAGAUAUUUUAUUCGUAUUCUUUGUAAACAGUUUACAUUAAAUGGUAUGUUAUCCUAAA
Molecule: long non-coding RNA, 482 nt
Organism: Stomoxys calcitrans (stable fly)
Lineage: Eukaryota; Metazoa; Arthropoda; Insecta; Diptera; Muscidae
Exons: 2
Source: RefSeq, a predicted model, not a curated record